GUGGAUGAUGAUGCCAACAAAGGAAAUAGCAAAUUCACUGGAAGGAACGGGUUUGUGAAGCCUGAUGAGUGAUGAAUGUGAAGUAAUGUGAAGUCCUUGAGGACCAUGGAAGAUAUUUUGAAAUACAUGAGGCAAGGCCAUGAAGAUCCUUAGAGAAGGAGGGGCUUUGGGGAAAGUGGCAAAAAUCUGGCACAGCUCCUGGGGAAAUGGUAAAGAACAUUAACUAAAGACAAAUGAAAAGAUUUCCCAAGAAGGUUUACGGAUCCCACUGAGGUUGAAACAAGAGCAGCGUAAAGCUUACAAAUGACCUAAGUUUGUGAUUUUCCCCAGAUAGCACCUACUUCACCAAAGGCCACAAAGUAAUGUUUUGCAGCAAAGAAUUCAGUAGAAGGAAACAGGAAUUGAGAGAGUUGUAGGAGAACUGAAACGACUGGUCUUGAGGAUGACCCAUGUAUGAUAACACAUUGGACUGGGACUUGAGGUCAGAGAAAGGAGGAUCUAUUGAAGAACUAGUCUGCGCUUGGUACUCUGCUGAGCACUUCAUACUUCACAACAAAUUUGCAUGAAGCCAGGCACCGGUUGCAAGAAGAAGUUUCAAUGCUCCAGCAGGUAGAAAACGGGGAAUGCAGAUGCUGCUAAUGAAAGAGAACAAUGCUGCCUUCAACCUCCAGCCCACUCUUCCAGGACUAGAAAACUUAGAGUCAAUUGAGAUCCUCCUAUUCAGCUCUUGCAAGAAAAAAAGCAGCAAUGAACAGAUGAGCAGAGGGUUCUGGAGGGAGAGAGCAACAGCAAUAGCUGUGCCUGGCAUUUAGGGUGCUAGUUCACACAUUUGUAGAAUUCAGAGAAGUUUUCAUUCUCAAGUAGUAGAAUUCAGGGGAAAAAAAAAAUCUUUUAUUUUUUUUUUUAGUCUGAAAAAAAGUAUAAUCCUGAGCACUCUGAUACAGAAAACAAAAUUCAAUGUGUCCAUCCCAGGCUGUGAUUCACAAUCUAAUGUGGUCUAAUGCUUACUUAUUUCAAUCACUUGGAGCUGAAGGCAGAUUGUGAUUUUAGAAUCUCACUGGGGUUUGACCCCUGGCUCUGCCAGUUACAGCCAACCCAUCUUUGGUAAACUGCUCUUCCCUUUGGUUCCUACAGAAUCCACCUGUGCGGAAUGGAAACAAUACCAUCUCCCUGGAAGAGUCACUGCCAAGGUUAAUGAGAGCUCAGCGGAUGGCCUAGCACUUAGAAUCCUUAAUCUUCAACAGAAAAAAACAAAAGGAGAAACAUUGGCUAGGUUGAUGUUAAUAAAAUGCUAGAAAGAGUGUUUACAAAAAUGUUCACAGGUUUGUGAUAAUUGUUGAAAUGUAUUAGAAACAGUUGAGGAAAAUGGAAGAAGUGGUAUGACAAGAAAAAAAUAAUGGACUCACAAACAUUUAUAAGGAUCACGCAGAAAGCAGUACUCUCCAUAAUAAAAUCACUUGUACUUUAUGAGUCAUAAAAAUAUUUUAUUAGUUUCUUAUAAAAAAAAACUUGAAAGUGACUUUAUUACAGGAGAGCAAUAAAGAAAUAUAUUGGCAAGGAGUUUCACACAGUCUCUGCCCAGGACCAUCUGGGCCCAGGCUGAGGUAAUCACCCCUCGAAGCGCAUCCUGCCAAUCUCUUCCAAGACAUUAUAUUUGCUCUUUUGAGUAUCAGAAGCAAUUCUUGCUUUCCCAUAUUUAUGUCAGCACUUCCAAGCCUUUUCAGGUAACAAUUUCAUGCCAGGUUAAGGAACCAGAUUAUACAAGUUACAACCAACCGUUGGCUAUUAGAAUUGGUCAGACAGAAAUACAAAAUACAAAGGGUGAAUUUCAUCUUUUGAGGAAGAGGAAAAAUAAAAAUCAAAGUCAGGAAAAGUCAGCACCUAGAGUGUCCUGAACAGGAGUUUAUCUUGACGCCCGAGACAAGCAGAUGCUCUGAUGAACAUUUCAUCCCAUUCUUGGGAUGCCUGUGCUCAUAGGCAUAGAAGUGACCAAGGGGACAAGUAUGAUGGAGAACUCACUUGUUAAUAAGAAAAACAACUUCAACCAACUAAACAAUUCCCCAAGAUCUUUAAGGAUGUUUCUGGAAAGAAAAUACAAUUCCUUUCCUGGAUUUGCUUUGAAAAGCAUAAUAAAAACAGGUGACCAAUAAUGUUUGGGAAAUAUUUACUCUUUCACUCUUUCUAUUUACAUGGCAAAAGGACUUGAUAUUUCAGCAUUUCUUUUGUUGUUCCAAUCACACACCUGCAGCUCAGUUACCACCCUCUACCAGAAUCAGCAACCCCAAUUCCUCAUAGCCAUAUUCACACUAUCUAAAAGGGUACUCUGCUCUUUAGUAUAUUUUUCCCUGUGAAACUCUUGUGUGCCAUAGGAGCUGAAAUGAUCUGGUCUUCAACAGUAGUAUGUCUAUUACUGAGUCUCCUAGAACGCUUUUUUUUUUUUUUUCUAGAACCCUUUUUGAUUGCAGUUUGUAAAACAUGGACCUUGACUAAAGAAAAAUGGUCUCGUGGCUGCAGAAAUACCCUAAUUUAUAUUGUGCCCCAAAUAUGUCACAGUUACCAUACCUCAGUCUGGGCUGUACUUUUUGGCUGGAUAUAAUCUUUACCAAUCAGCGAAAGAGAGGUUAUCUGACCUGAAACAGGCUAGAGACAGGUGCCAAGCACUGAUUCUAUCUCAGGUGAUGGCUUUUGUUGCUUGAGCUGACCUCUUAAAUGCAGGGUUUCUAGAAACACAAUUUAUGGAUAUUACCCUGCAUUAUUAUUAAGUUAAGGAAAAACAAUGAUAUCUAAGCCAAAGAGAAGAAUUUCUUUCUUUUUUUUAUGAGCCAUAACAUAAGUGAAGUGGAAUAACAAAAAAUCACUUCAUUGGUUCAGAAUUAUGACUCUGGUAGUUUCAUUUAAGGUUUCAAUCAGCUUCCAGCAUUGUGAUCAUUAUUUUUGUCAAAUAAAGCAUAAUAAGCAGCUAUAAACUCAGACAGGAAAUUCUUUUAUGAGGCAUAAAUAUCCUUGGAAUUAAAAAUAACAUAUUGAACCAACUAUAUACAACUACAGCCCAUGAAAAGGACUUUAUGUCACUUGAUAUUGAUGCAUGAAUAUUGAUAUAACUUAAAACAAUUGAUUGUCAGAAACUUCAAAUAUGAACUGGGAGUAAGUCUGUUGUGACAUACUUAUUUUUAAA
Long non-coding RNA from Canis lupus familiaris (dog), 3175 nucleotides. RefSeq lists it as uncharacterized. The record is from RefSeq and is a predicted model, not a curated record. The transcript is spliced from 4 exons. Lineage: Eukaryota; Metazoa; Chordata; Mammalia; Carnivora; Canidae.